RNAcentral lists this unclassified non-coding RNA (219 nucleotides) under uncultured Actinomycetes bacterium. Its description in RNAcentral is "uncultured actinobacterium contains 16S-23S intergenic spacer region". Lineage: Bacteria; Bacillati; Actinomycetota; Actinomycetes. The record is from RNAcentral.
UCCGGUUUGGCACCGGCAGUCUCCCUAGAGUUCCCGGCAUUACCCGCUGGCAACUAAGGACAGGGGUUGCGCUCGUUGCGCCACUUAAGGCAACACCUCACGGCACGAGCUGACGACAGCCAUGCACCACCUGUGCAGGCUCCGAAGAGCGUCGUCUUUCAACGAUUUCACCCUGCAUGUCAAACCCAGGUAAGGUGGGGAUGACGUAGACCUUGGACC